AAAAUGAAUGAGUCUGCCUCGGUUUCCAAGGACAGAAGGCCGAGCUCUCCAGUAAUGUAUGUGACUCCCCUCUUGUAGUUUUCUCUGAAUUACACAGCUUCCUCCAGCAUCUUCCCAUUCCAGCCCCUUCCCAGACCUGCACCUGCUUCCUGGCCCAGAGCUCAUGAGGUGAAAAUCACUCUCAGGGAGAAGCAGUUAAAGUCAUGUACAUCCAUUUGUACCGGUAACUUCAUGGAAGAAAGAAUGCAGAGUGAUCUUCUAGGAAAGUGAUAUCCUCAUGUGGAUCUUGA
Prionailurus viverrinus (fishing cat) is the source of this 290-nucleotide long non-coding RNA. RefSeq lists it as uncharacterized. The record is from RefSeq and is a predicted model, not a curated record. The transcript is spliced from 3 exons. NCBI's taxonomy places the organism in Eukaryota, Metazoa, Chordata, Mammalia, Carnivora, Felidae.